This is a long non-coding RNA of Armigeres subalbatus, 427 nucleotides long. RefSeq lists it as uncharacterized. The transcript has 3 exons. The record is from RefSeq and is a predicted model, not a curated record. NCBI's taxonomy places the organism in Eukaryota, Metazoa, Arthropoda, Insecta, Diptera, Culicidae.
AAACGAUCUUGAUUCCACAUCGAAUUUAAAACUUUUGCGAUAAUUUUCUAAAUGUUUGUGGUUUUUCAAUCAACUUCGCGUGAUCGGUGCCCGAUAGGUUCCAUGGACGUUCAAUUAUUCCUUCGCAGCGAGCUUUUCGGAGGUUCGUUGAAAAUGGAUAAGAAACUGGAUUGUUGAGAAGUUAUUAUGAUCAAGGAGUUGUGUGUGUGAUUUAAACCCAGUGAAGUGUUCGGUUGGUGUUUUUCAUUAAAAGAAAGUGUCCUACCAUUCAAAUGAACACGAAAGUGCUGAUUGGCUACCGGAGUAAAACAGCGGAACAACUUCAAUUCUCCAACGACACGGAUGAACGGGCCAUGAUAAAAUAUUGUCCAGCUGGGCAGCGCAUCAAGGAAAUUGAAUCCAGACCACACCGGGUACAACGUAUUCU